Molecule: unclassified non-coding RNA, 326 nt
Filed under: soil metagenome
Description: partial contains 5.8S ribosomal RNA, internal transcribed spacer 2, and large subunit ribosomal RNA
Rfam family: 5.8S ribosomal RNA (bases 1-120)
Source: RNAcentral
GAUGAAGAACGCAGUGAAAUGCGAUAAGUAAUGUGAAUUGCAGAAUUCAGUGAAUCAUCGAAUCUUUGAACGCACAUUGCGCCCCUUGGUAUUCCGAGGGGCAUGCCUAUUCGAGCGUCAUUAUCACCCCUCAAGCCUAGCUUGGUGUUGGGGCUUGCUGUAAAGGCAGCCUCUAAAAUCAGUGGCAGUGCUGUCAGGCUCUAAGCGUAGUAAAUUCAUCGCUAUAGGGUCCUGGUGGAUACUCGUCAAAAACCCCCAUUUUUAAUGAUUGACCUCGGAUUAGGUAGGGAUACCCGCUGAACUUAAGCAUAUCAAUAAGCGGAGGA